RNAcentral lists this ribosomal RNA (1264 nucleotides) under metagenome. RNAcentral's name for it is "bacterial SSU rRNA". It matches the Rfam family "Archaeal small subunit ribosomal RNA", at positions 177 to 1445 of the family's 1478-position model. The record is from RNAcentral.
GGAUUUUUCCUUCAAAGUUUUAACGCCUAAAGAUAGGACAGCGGCGGAUUAGGUUGUUGGCGGGGUAAUGGCCCACCAAGCUUAUGAUCCGUACGGGCCGUGAGAGCGGUAGCCCGGAGAGGGACACUGAGAAACUGGUCCCAGCCCUACGGGGUGCAGCAGGCGCGAAACCUUUACAAUGCACGAAAGUGUGAUAAGGGAACCCCAAGUGCUCAAGUAUAACUUGGGCUUUUGCCAAGUGUAAAAAGCUUGGCGAAUAAGUGGUGGGUAAGACUGGUGCCAGCAGCCGCUGUAACACCAGCGCCACGAGUGGGAACCAGCUUUAUUUGGCCUAAAGCGUCCGUAGCUGGUCUAGUAAAUCUUUUGUGAAAUCAUAGGGCUUAACCUUAUGGCGAGCAGAGGACACUGCUAGACUCGAGACCGGGAGGAGUUAGAGGUAUUCUGAGGGGAGCGGUAAAAUGCUAUAAUCCUCAGAGGACCACCUGUGGCGAAGGCGUCUAACUAGAACGGUUCUGACAGUGAGGGACGAAAGCUAGGGGAGCGAUCCGGAUUAGGUACCCGAGUAGUCCUAGCCGUAAACGCUGCGAGCAAGGCGUCGCAUGUUCUACGUGAAUAUGCAGUGUCGAAACGAAGGUGUUAAGCUCGCCGCCUGGGAAGUAUGGUCGCAAGACUGAAACUUAAAGGAAUUGGCGGGGGACACUACAAGGGGUGCGGCGUGCGGUUUAAUCUAACUCAACGCAGAGAACCUCACCAGAGGCGACGGCAGGAUGACAGUCAGUCUGAAGGGCUUACUUGACGAGCCGAGAGGUAGUGCAUGGUCGCCGUCAGCUCGUGCUGUAAGGUGUCCUGUUAAGUCAGGCAACGAGCGAGACCUGUACCCAUAAUUGCUAACGACCGGCUUGCCGGGAUCGAGCACUUUAUGGGAACUGCCCUGGAAACAGGGAGGAAGGUGCAGGCUACGGUAGGUCUGUAUGCUCCGAAUCCUCUGGGCAACACGCGCGCAACAAUGGUAAGGACAAUGGGAUGCAACUCCGAAAGGAGAAGCUAAACCUCUAAACCUUAUCCAAGUCUAGAUUGAGGGUUGCAACCCACCCUCAUGACAACGGAAUCCCUAGUAAUCGGACGUCAACAUCGUCCGGUGAAUAUGUCCCUGCUCCUUGCACACACCGCCCGUCAAACCACUCGAGCAGGGUCUAGGUGAGCGCUAGCCAUUUAGUUAGUGCGAAUCUAGGCUCAGUGAGAUGGGUUAAGUCGUCACAAGGUA